GUGGAGGUGGCCUAGCGGCAUGGCGUGAGAUUGCAAAAAUAGACGACCUUAAGAUCCCGGGUUCGAGUCCCGGCCACCACU
This 81-nucleotide transfer RNA is filed under the name Pseudozyma flocculosa. It matches the Rfam family "tRNA". From Rfam's summary of the family: Transfer RNA (tRNA) molecules are approximately 80 nucleotides in length. Their secondary structure includes four short double-helical elements and three loops (D, anti-codon, and T loops). Further hydrogen bonds mediate the characteristic L-shaped molecular structure. tRNAs have two regions of fundamental functional importance: the anti-codon, which is responsible for specific mRNA codon recognition, and the 3' end, to which the tRNAs corresponding amino acid is attached (by aminoacyl-tRNA synthetases). tRNAs cope with the degeneracy of the genetic code in two manners: having more than one tRNA (with a specific anti-codon) for a particular amino acid; and 'wobble' base-pairing, i.e. permitting non-standard base-pairing at the 3rd anti-codon position. RNAcentral also lists the same sequence under 1 other name. The record is from Rfam by way of RNAcentral. Lineage: Eukaryota; Fungi; Basidiomycota; Ustilaginomycetes; Ustilaginales; Ustilaginaceae.